RNAcentral lists this unclassified non-coding RNA (355 nucleotides) under Hevea brasiliensis (rubber tree). Lineage: Eukaryota; Viridiplantae; Streptophyta; Magnoliopsida; Malpighiales; Euphorbiaceae. The record is from RNAcentral.
AAGGAACAUAACCUCCUUCGAACUAUUAGUUAUGGCCCAAUACUUUAAAAGACCUCUAAUUACAGUAUCAGCAAGCUUGAAAUCUUUUUCCACAAAUUGAGUGAUACAAUAUGAAAGUUGUUGAUGGUACAUCGAUACACACUUGGGCUUGUGAAGUGGAAUCAGGGCACGGACUAGAAAGAGCUUGUGCUCUUCCUUCAAUGGCAAAGCAAACCCGUUAAUUAUGCUGCCCAAUAUCUCAAGUAAUUCAGCGAUCCCAUUAUGCCUUUCUGUUUCAAAUAUGAAACGGUAAAAGCUUUCCUAAUAAAUGGCCGAUGUACCAUAAACUUCCCAUAAAUGCGAUGUAGUAUUGUCU